Molecule: ribosomal RNA, 430 nt
Filed under: uncultured bacterium
Lineage: Bacteria
Description: bacterial SSU rRNA
Rfam family: Bacterial small subunit ribosomal RNA
Source: RNAcentral
AACGGGUGAGUAAUAUAUCGGAACGUGCCCAGUAGUGGGGGAUAGCCCGGCGAAAGCCGGAUUAAUACCGCAUACGACCUAAGGGUGAAAGGGGGGGAUUCGCAAGAACCUCUCGCUAUUGGAGCGGCCGAUAUCAGAUUAGGUAGUUGGUGGGGUAAAAGCCUACCAAGCUUGCGAUCUGUAGUUGGUCUGAGAGGACGACCAGCCACACUGGGACUGAGACACGGCCCAGACUCCUACGGGAGGCAGCAGUGGGGAAUUUUGGACAAUGGGCGCAAGCCUGAUCCAGCAAUGCCGCGUGCAGGAAGAAGGCCUUCGGGUUGUAAACUGCUUUUGUCAGGGAAGAAAUCCUCUGGGUUAAUACCUCGGGGGGAUGACGGUACCUGAAGAAUAAGCACCGGCUAACUACGUGCCAGCAGCCGCGGUAAUA